This 431-nucleotide ribosomal RNA is filed under the name uncultured bacterium. RNAcentral's name for it is "partial 16S ribosomal RNA". It matches the Rfam family "Bacterial small subunit ribosomal RNA", at positions 29 to 505 of the family's 1533-position model. The record is from RNAcentral.
AACGAACGCUGGCGGCAUGCCUAACACAUGCCAGUCGAACGAGACCUUCGGGUCUAGUGGCGCACGGGUGCGUAACGCGUGGGAACCUGCCCUUAGGUUCGGAAUAACUCCCCGAAAGGGGUGCUAAUACCGGAUAAUGUCUUCGGACCAAAGAUUUAUCGCCUUUGGAUGGGCCCGCGUUGGAUUAGCUAGUUGGUAGGGUAAAAGCCUACCAAGGCGACGAUCCAUAGCUGGUCUGAGAGGAUGAUCAGCCACACUGGGACUGAGACACGGCCCAGACUCCUACGGGAGGCAGCAGUGGGGAAUAUUGGACAAUGGGCGAAAGCCUGAUCCAGCAAUGCCGCGUGAGUGAUGAAGGCCUUAGGGUUGUAAAGCUCUUUUACCCGGGAUGAUAAUGACAGUACCGGGAGAAUAAGCUCCGGCUAACUCCG